Long non-coding RNA from Globicephala melas (long-finned pilot whale), 2515 nucleotides. RefSeq lists it as uncharacterized. Lineage: Eukaryota; Metazoa; Chordata; Mammalia; Artiodactyla; Delphinidae. The record is from RefSeq and is a predicted model, not a curated record.
UAGCGGGCGUUACCACACAGUUUCCGAUUUCCGGCUCAGCGUCCAAUCGCCAGCCCGCCCCAGGCUUUCCGUUUCCGGCAGCACAGGCCUGUGGGACUUGAACCUGUUGUGAAGCCGGUUAGUCCUGGGCAGGCGGGUUCCCUCAAGGUGGCUAUGAUUGUGUCUCUAGCCCCCGCCUGUCCUGCAGUCUGUCUGCAGGUCCGCAGCAGAAACGCGCAGCUUGAGUCAGUCGCGGAGCACCCACUUCCAGUGUCUCGGAUCGCAGAGUGGGAUACAAGACGCCGCCACCUUUGUUUCCGUGGGAACCUUGGGAAGUUAGCAGAGGGCCUUCAGGAGUUGGCUCUCUCUUCUGACUCCGGCCUCAGAAGGACUGCUGACCUUUUGCCAGGAAAAGUAUUUUCUUUUUCAGUGGGAAACUUGUAUCUAUCCACAUUGUGGAAGACACAGGGAAGAAUCAGAAGAAAAUGAAACGUGUUAGUCUUGCAGCCCCGUUUGUCUCCCUUGCUAGGCUGUCAGCUAGUUCUCAUUCUUGGUAGCGCAGGUUCUGGCACGAAAUAGAUAAUACCUGGUGAACGAAUGAAUGUUAACAUUUUGGUGUGCGUUUCUCCCUAGGCUUUUUUUUUUUCCCCGCAAAUAUAUACAUAUCACAUGCAUAUUUCCACAUAAUUGAGCUGCCCCUACAUGGCCUGGGAAAAUCAGUAACUGCACUUAAAUCCUUGCUGCUGCUGUCGCUGGAGCACGCUUUAGUUGCCUAUGUGAGAAGCAGCUGAAUUGCAAAUCAAUAGCAUGUCAGGUCUGCCCUUCUGACUUUCAGGGCUCUCACUUGAAAUCACAGUUUCAUCUGUCAACUGGCACCUCCAAUUAGCACUCGGUCAGAUAAUCCAGUAGGAGUCAGAGCUCCUGGGGACUGGAAAGGCUUGGCUCUGACCGAUGGCUUUUAGCUGUCCUCCAUUUCUUCUGCCCAUCUCUGAGGUAUCUGCUUCCAACCUUAAUUUUUAGAGUUUUAGGAUGUUUAAGACAGAUGAUCUCUAACAUACCCUUGAAAUUCUGUAAGAUGCUGCUGAGCCAACUGAAUAAGAUAAUAGAGGCCAACUGAAGUGUAACUUUUGUUGUUUUGCAGUCAGAUUAUCACAGGAGCUGUUCUUGGUCGGUUACCUUUUGCAGAAGGAAUGGCACAGAUUCUUUUUCUCUCCUCCCCACUCCAACCCAGUUCCAGAGGGUCUGGAUCCAGCAGGUAUUCGGUGACCACGACUACCUUGAUCGCGGCUGACCCAAGGCCAUGCCUGUAUAGUACUCAAUGACGUCGGGUCUGGGCCAGACAGAGUGAGAGGUCAGGAAAUGGUCCCUGGAUUGUCCCUCAGGCACCCCCACAUCAAUAGAGGAGUCUCUGUCAGAAACUCGGCCCAAACCUGGCUGAGGAGGCAUAUCAAGGGCACUUCUGUGUGGGAAGCACGUGGGCAUCCGUCUGGCUCAUUCCCAAGUCCACAGAUGAAAUCAGAGGCCUGGAGAAGAGUAGUCACCUGAGACCUGAAGCUCAGGCCUGGAGGGGUUAGGUUGAAAGCAUCUCGCAGGCGGUGCCCUGCACGUCGGGCCCAGAGGGCUGGGCACAUGGAAAGGGCACCUGGCCUUCACGCCGCGUGCCGCUGUGUCAGUGCUUUGCCGCCUUGGCGUCGUGCGGCCGAUGGUGGAGUCUGUAACUUUCUAUCAACAAGACUAAUUGAGCUUUUGCUCUGAGCCAGAAAUUCAGCUGAAGCACCUUCCAUGCCCUGGGGGAGUUCACUGUCACCACGUGAAAAUACCAAGGGUUACGGUGUCUGUAACAACCUGAUUAGGGUGUCAGCCCUGAGAAUACAAAGGAUGAAAUGAUUGCCUCUGUGGGAGGAAGGUCUGUGUGAACUGGAGAAAGUCUGACCUCCCUGCCUGGGAAAAGGCAAUGCUGGAAUUUGCACUUGCUAUUUCCCGAGCUGAUGACAUAACAGAUGACCAUUUCAAAAAGCUCGAGGUGCACGGAUUCAACCAAGAAGAUGCCUGGGAUAUAGCUGCAAUUUCAGCUUUUUAUGCCAUGUCCAAAUGCCUUGCUCAUUUUGUCAGUCUUGUUCCCAACAAAGAAUUCUAUUUGAUGGGCAGAACCAAUGAUGUCAAAGACAUCAGGAGUGAACCUGCUGCUCCCAAAGUAUAAAAGUCUGAACAGAAAGGCCAGUGUUUACAUUUCCAGCACAUUGCAUUAUAAGACACCAGUUGGGAAGUAAUUUUUUUAAAUGUUUAGUCAAUGGAUAGGGAAGAAAGUAAAUAAAUUUGUUCCCUGCCUGCUUGAUGAGAUAGAUCCUAAGGGACAUGUGAUAUCUGGGCCUCGGGGAAACCUUUUACUUUUUUACUUUUGUUGUGAUGUGAAAGGAGCAUCAGGGACAAAGGAGUUCAGAGGAUGCUUUAGGCAUUUCUGAUGAACUGAUAUCUGUGAAUUUCAGCAAUUGAAGUUGAACAUAUUUUAGCUUUUAAAAAUAGUGUUACAUGGAAA